RNAcentral lists this ribosomal RNA (497 nucleotides) under uncultured bacterium. Its description in RNAcentral is "partial 16S ribosomal RNA". It matches the Rfam family "Bacterial small subunit ribosomal RNA", at positions 28 to 507 of the family's 1533-position model. The record is from RNAcentral.
GGUGAACGCUGGCGGCGUGCCUAAUACAUGCAAGUCGAGCGAACAGAUGAGGAGCUUGCUCCUCUGACGUUAGCGGCGGACGGGUGAGUAACACGUGGAUAACCUACCUAUAAGACUGGGAUAACUUCGGGAAACCGGAGCUAAUACCGGAUAAUAUAUUGAACCGCAUGGUUCAAUAGUGAAAGACGGUUUUGCUGUCACUUAUAGAUGGAUCCGCGCCGCAUUAGCUAGUUGGUAAGGUAACGGCUUACCAAGGCAACGAUGCGUAGCCGACCUGAGAGGGUGAUCGGCCACACUGGAACUGAGACACGGUCCAGACUCCUACGGGAAGCAGCAGUAGGGAAUCUUCCGCAAUGGGCGAAAGCCUGACGGAGCAACGCCGCGUGAGUGAUGAAGGUCUUCGGAUCGUAAAACUCUGUUAUUAGGGAAGAACAAAUGUGUAAGUAACUAUGCACGUCUUGACGGUACCUAAUCAGAAAGCCACGGCUAACUACGUG